RNAcentral lists this ribosomal RNA (497 nucleotides) under uncultured bacterium. Its description in RNAcentral is "partial 16S ribosomal RNA". It matches the Rfam family "Bacterial small subunit ribosomal RNA", at positions 28 to 507 of the family's 1533-position model. The record is from RNAcentral.
GAUGAACGCUGGCGGCGUGCCUAAUACAUGCAAGUAGAACGCUGAAGGAAGGAGCUUGCUCUUUCCGGGUGAGUUGCGAACGGGUGAGUAACGCGUAGGUAACCUGCCUGGUAGCGGGGGAUAACUAUUGGAAACGAUAGCUAAUACCGCAUAACAGUAGAUGUUGCAUGAUAUCUACUUAAAAGGUGCAAUUGCACCACUACCAGCUGGACCUGCGUUGUAUUAGCUAGUUGGUGAGGUAACGGCUCACCCAGGCGACGCUACAUAGCCGCCCUGAGAGGGUGAUCGGCCACACUGGGACUGAGACACGGCCCAGACUCCUACGGGAGGCAGCAGUAGGGAAUCUUCGGCAAUGGACGGAAGUCUGACCGAGCAACGCCGCGUGAGUGAAGAAGGUUUUCGGAUCGUAAAGCUCUGUUGUAAGAGAAGAACGAGUGUGAGAGUGGAAAGUUCACACUGUGACGGUAUCUUACCAGAAAGGGACGGCUAACUACGUG